UGCUCUCCUGCACCUUCCGCUUCGUCUUCAUCGCGGCUUUCUCCUACACCAACCACUACAACCAGGACAUCCGCUUCGACAACCUGUACAUCACCACCUACUUCCGCCAGCUCGACGCCCGGCGCUGGAAGCAGAAGAAGCGCACGCUGCUGCCUCUGCACCGGGCGGAGCUCUCCGGCGUGGUCUUCCCCUGCAGGCUGGGCGGGGAGGCG
Molecule: non-coding RNA, 212 nt
Organism: Pelodiscus sinensis (Chinese soft-shelled turtle)
Lineage: Eukaryota; Metazoa; Chordata; Testudines; Trionychidae
Source: RefSeq, a predicted model, not a curated record